GACGAACGCUGGCGGCGUGCUUAACACAUGCAAGUCGAACGGACAGGCCCUGCUUUUGUGGGGUGCUCGAUUGGCGAACGGGUGAGUAACACGUGUGUAACCUGCCCUUGACUUUGGGAUAACUUCAGGAAACUGGGGCUAAUACCGGAUAGGAGCUCCUGCUGCAUGGUGGGGGAUGGAAAGUUCCGGCUGUUGGGGAUGGACUCGCGGCUUAUCAGCUUGUUGGUGUGGUAGUGGCUUACCAAGGCUUUGACGGGUAGCCGGCCUGAGAGGGUGACCGGCGACAUUGGGACUGAGAUACGGCGCAGAAGCCUACGGGAGGCAGCAGGGGGGAAUAUUGCACAAUGGGCGGGAGCCUGAUGCAGCAACGCCGCGUGCGGGAUGACGGCCUUCGGGUUGUAAACAGCUGUCGCCGGUGACGAAGCGUGAGUGACGGUAAUGGGUAAAGAAGCACCGGCUAACUACGUG
RNAcentral lists this ribosomal RNA (468 nucleotides) under uncultured bacterium. Its description in RNAcentral is "partial 16S ribosomal RNA". It matches the Rfam family "Bacterial small subunit ribosomal RNA", at positions 28 to 507 of the family's 1533-position model. The record is from RNAcentral.